Non-coding RNA from Pelobates cultripes (western spadefoot toad), 286 nucleotides. NCBI's taxonomy places the organism in Eukaryota, Metazoa, Chordata, Amphibia, Anura, Pelobatidae. The record is from the annotation of a GenBank genome assembly.
UGGUGGGAACCAUGCCUGGUUCAUUGUAAUAAACGUGAGCUUGUGGACAGGCGGCUGCGCUUGUCUGUGAUAACCUCGUGCCGAUUGCACGUCCCCGUGACGGUGACAACACAUUCACAUGUCUGACCUAUCAACUUUCGAUGCUAUUUUCCGCGCCUACCAUGGUGACCACGGGUAACUAGGAAUCAGGGUUCGAUUUCAGAGAGGGAGCCUGAGAAACAGCUAUCACAUGCAAGAAAGGCAGCAGGCGCGCAAAUUACCCACUCCCGACGAGGGGAGGUAGUGA